GACGAACGCUGGCGGCGUGCCUAAUACAUGCAAGUCGAACGAGAGCGACCGGUGCUUGCACUGGUCAAUCUAGUGGCGAACGGGUGAGUAACACGUGGGUAACCUGCCCAUCAGAGGGGGAUAACAUCCGGAAACGGAUGCUAAAACCGCAUAGGUCUUCGAGCCGCAUGGCUUGAAGAGGAAAAGAGGCGCAAGCUUCUGCUGAUGGAUGGACCCGCGGUGCAUUAGCUAGUUGGUGAGGUAACGGCUCACCAAGGCCGUGAUGCAUAGCCGACCUGAGAGGGUGAUCGGCCACAUUGGGACUGAGACACGGUCCAAACUCCUACGGGAGGCAGCAGUAGGGAAUCUUCCGCAAUGGACGCAAGUCUGACGGAGCAACGCCGCGUGAGUGAAGAAGGUUUUCGGAUCGUAAAACUCUGUUGUUAGAGAAGAACAAGUGCUAGAGUAACUGUUAGCGCCUUGACGGUAUCUAACCAGAAAGCCACGGCUAACUACGUG
RNAcentral lists this ribosomal RNA (498 nucleotides) under uncultured bacterium. Its description in RNAcentral is "partial 16S ribosomal RNA". It matches the Rfam family "Bacterial small subunit ribosomal RNA", at positions 28 to 507 of the family's 1533-position model. The record is from RNAcentral.